GCCUCGUGGCCUAACGGGUAAGGUGUUGGUAUUCUGAACCAAAAAUUGGGGGUUCGAGUCGCACCGAGAGCA
This 72-nucleotide transfer RNA is filed under the name Perkinsus olseni. Its description in RNAcentral is "tRNA-Arg". It matches the Rfam family "tRNA". From Rfam's summary of the family: Transfer RNA (tRNA) molecules are approximately 80 nucleotides in length. Their secondary structure includes four short double-helical elements and three loops (D, anti-codon, and T loops). Further hydrogen bonds mediate the characteristic L-shaped molecular structure. tRNAs have two regions of fundamental functional importance: the anti-codon, which is responsible for specific mRNA codon recognition, and the 3' end, to which the tRNAs corresponding amino acid is attached (by aminoacyl-tRNA synthetases). tRNAs cope with the degeneracy of the genetic code in two manners: having more than one tRNA (with a specific anti-codon) for a particular amino acid; and 'wobble' base-pairing, i.e. permitting non-standard base-pairing at the 3rd anti-codon position. Lineage: Eukaryota; Perkinsozoa; Perkinsida; Perkinsidae. The record is from RNAcentral.